UGCAUAACUCAGUGGCAGAGUGCUUGCCUAGCAUGCAUGAAGCCCUGAGUUCAAACCCCAGCACUGCAA
This 69-nucleotide transfer RNA is filed under the name Marmota marmota marmota (Alpine marmot). It matches the Rfam family "tRNA". Rfam says of the family: Transfer RNA (tRNA) molecules are approximately 80 nucleotides in length. RNAcentral also lists the same sequence under 1 other name. The record is from Rfam by way of RNAcentral. Lineage: Eukaryota; Metazoa; Chordata; Mammalia; Rodentia; Sciuridae.